This 253-nucleotide ribosomal RNA is filed under the name uncultured bacterium. Its description in RNAcentral is "partial 16S ribosomal RNA". It matches the Rfam family "Bacterial small subunit ribosomal RNA", at positions 524 to 776 of the family's 1533-position model. The record is from RNAcentral.
CACGUAGGGCGCGAGCGUUGUCCGGAAUUAUUGGGCGUAAAGAGCUCGUAGGCGGCCUGUUGCGUCCGCUGUGAAAGCCCGGGGCUUAACCCCGGGUCGGCAGUGGAUACGGGCAGGCUAGAGGUAGGUAGGGGAGAAUGGAAUUCCCGGUGUAGCGGUGAAAUGCGUAGAUAUCAGGAGGAACACCUGUGGUGUAGACAGCUUACUGGACCACUUCUGACGCUGAGACACGAAAGCGUGGGUAGCAAACAGG